Molecule: long non-coding RNA, 965 nt
Organism: Ornithodoros turicata
Lineage: Eukaryota; Metazoa; Arthropoda; Arachnida; Ixodida; Argasidae
Exons: 6
Source: RefSeq, a predicted model, not a curated record
UGAUGCACGCGGCGGUAACGUAUUGCUCUGUUGCAGCGCGCAAAGACGCGUGUUAGGCCCGUUUCUAAGGCAUAAAUUUUGCACGAGUUCUGCUUCAAGCGUUCAUCUUGGCAGAUAUCUUUUCGGAAGAAAGAAGGAAGUCACUGAAAAGCUAUAGUGCCGAACAGCUGGAAGCAGCCGUCAAAUGUGUCGGACAUGGCGGCGCCAUACACGCUGCCGCUAUAGGAAGUUCCGCAUCCCAUCACCAGCCCUUCGAAGGAGGCUGAAAACAGUGAAAACAGGUGACAUUGGACACGAGAACGAAGUGCUCCUUGUUCGGCACGUUCCGAGUUACUAGAAAAUGCCGGUUUUCACCAACACGGAACUAGGGGGCGUAACCGGAGUUCCAGAAUGCGUUCGCCGCUUCCUGACACACAGCCAAGUCGGAACGUCAAGGGUCCGUCCGUCGGUUUGACGAGAAGCGCUGAAACAAGGCACUCACAUCACUUCCUGCAGCCCGGAGUAGCGCAUUUUUGGGUGAUGAAGCACAAGACAGAGAGGUUCAACGAGACAGACAUGAAAGAAUGCACGUUUUUUCGACUUAGAAGGCACAUACAAGGCACAGUGCAAGAUUUUCGAGCCCAAGUUCAGGAGGACAGAGAAUGUCAUUCCAAGACCUGUUUCUUGUCACCUUCAAGGAGUACACUGUUUAUGCCAUUUCCUUUCAGAGGUCUCAACAAUAAAGUCCACGGCGCAGAAAUACAUCAUGCGCUGUUUCUCCGGAAGAGCUCCAUUCGUCAUCGCUCACACACAAAAUGACUGAAGACUCUGACCUUCAAACCGAGAAAGUUCGUGAGGUCGCGCACAAAGACGAGUUGCUCGCGGAAAGAAAGUACGAAGAGGACAAAAUGAACAGUGUAUCGCCUCUUUCGCCUGAUGACACAGUAACCGUUCGGUCUCGCGUAGGACGUGACAUCGCGAUAAAA